GAUGAACGCUGGCGGCGUGCCUAAUACAUGCAAGUCGAGCGAACGGACGAGAAGCUUGCUUCUCUGAUGUUAGCGGCGGACGGGUGAGUAACACGUGGAUAACCUACCUAUAAGACUGGGAUAACUUCGGGAAACCGGAGCUAAUACCGGAUAAUAUUUUGAACCGCAUGGUUCAAAAGUGAAAGACGGUCUUGCUGUCACUUAUAGAUGGAUCCGCGCUGCAUUAGCUAGUUGGUACGGUAACGGCUUACCAAGGCAACGAUGCAUAGCCGACCGGAGAGGGUGAUCGGCCACACUGGAGCUGGACCACGGUCCAGACUCCUACGGGAGGCAGCAGUAGGGAAUCUUCCGCAGUGGGCGAAAGCCUGACGGAGCAACGCCGCGUGAGUGAUGAAGGUCUUCGGAUCGUAAAACUCUGUUAUUAGGGAAGAACAUAUGUGUAAGUAACUGUGCACAUCUUGACGGUACCUAAUCAGAAAGCCACGGCUAACUACGUG
This 497-nucleotide ribosomal RNA is filed under the name uncultured bacterium. RNAcentral describes it as "partial 16S ribosomal RNA". It matches the Rfam family "Bacterial small subunit ribosomal RNA", at positions 28 to 507 of the family's 1533-position model. The record is from RNAcentral.